Molecule: ribosomal RNA, 460 nt
Filed under: uncultured bacterium
Lineage: Bacteria
Description: partial 16S ribosomal RNA
Rfam family: Bacterial small subunit ribosomal RNA
Source: RNAcentral
CCUACGGGAGGCAGCAGUGAGGAAUAUUGGUCAAUGGGCGGAAGCCUGAACCAGCCAAGUCGCGUGAGGGAUUAAGGCCCUGCGGGUCGUAAACCUCUUUUGCCGGGGAGCAGUGGUCCGGACGUGUCCGGGCCGGGAGAGUACCCGGAGAAAAAGCAUCGGCUAACUCCGUGCCAGCAGCCGCGGUAAUACGGAGGAUGCGAGCGUUAUCCGGAUUUAUGGGGUUAAAGGGUGUGCAGCCGGGAAGACAAGUCAGAUGUGAAAUCCCGCGGCUCAACCGCGGAAUUGCAUUUGAAACUGGUUUUCUUGAGUACCGGAGAGGUCAUCGGAAUUCCUUGUGUAGCGGUGAAAUGCGUAGAUAUAAGGAAGAACACCAGUGGCGAAGGCGGAUGACUGGACGGCAACUGACGGUGAGGCGCGAAAGCGUGGGGAGCAAACAGGAUUAGAUACCCGGGUAGUC